RNAcentral lists this ribosomal RNA (245 nucleotides) under uncultured bacterium. Its description in RNAcentral is "partial 16S ribosomal RNA". It matches the Rfam family "Bacterial small subunit ribosomal RNA", at positions 524 to 768 of the family's 1533-position model. The record is from RNAcentral.
UACGUAGGGUGCGAGCGUUAAUCGGAAUUACUGGGCGUAAAGCGUGCGUAGACGGUUGCAUAAGUCGGAUGUGAAAUCCCCGGGCUCAACCUGGGAAUUGCAUUCGAGACUGUGUAGCUGGGGUGCGGAAGAGGGAAGCGGAAUUUCCGGUGUAGCGGUGAAAUGCGUAGAUAUCGGAAGGAACAUCAGUGGCGAAAGCGGCUUCCUGGUCCAGCACCGACGUUUAGGCACGAAAGCGUGGGGAG